Molecule: ribosomal RNA, 150 nt
Filed under: uncultured Russula
Lineage: Eukaryota; Fungi; Basidiomycota; Agaricomycetes; Russulales; Russulaceae
Description: partial 28S ribosomal RNA
Rfam family: Eukaryotic large subunit ribosomal RNA
Source: RNAcentral
UUGACCUCAAAUCGGGUGAGACUACCCGCUGAACUUAAGCAUAUCAAUAAGCGGAGGAAAAGAAACUAACAAGGAUUCCCCUAGUAACUGCGAGUGAAGCGGGAAAAGCUCAAAUUUAAAAUCUGGUGGUCUUUGGCCAUCCGAGUUGUA